ACAGAGGUGAAAAUACUUGCUUUAAAGGAUUGUAAUGUUUCCUUUUAAAAUAAGUCUCUAAGGUCAGACAAAGGGACAGAAACUCAUAGCUUUCUACCAGCCCAAUGACAAAACUAUAAGUUGUUUUUUAACAUCUACUUUUUCAUCUAUUUGGCAGUCACAGUGAAAAGUAUAAACAUUGGCACGCUUUGUCUUGUGAUUCUGCUGUUCGUAAAAAAUGACCAUGCGCAAAGUACCAGACUUUAAGGCUUUGACUUGAUGCCAAUGGCCUGAGGAGGACAGUAUUACCCUUGGACAUGUGUAGUCUGCCGUCUACUCAAUAGAAGAACAAGAAGCGCGGAAAUGGCACAACUGUCUUCAGUUUCUGGGAGAGUUUAACAAUGAGAGACUGAUGAUGCAGAAGAAAUCUCCGUGGUUAAAAACAUUAAAAACAGUCGUCCAGGAUGAUGAGAUCCGCCACUGGCUCAGACUGCUGUAUAUCAGCCGGAGACCCGAGAUGAAGUCACGCAGCAGUCCCACAUCAACAUGAAGUGUAAGGAGGAGGAAGAUCUGGCUGGCCAGCAGGUCUGGAAGCAGGAGAGGAACUUCAAUCUGGACCAGGAGGACACAGAUCCCCCACAGAUCAAAGAGGAACAGGAGGAACUCUGCAUCAGUCAAGAGGGAGAACAGCUUGUAGUGAAACACGAGGAUGAAGGCAUCGUCGUCUGGAGCGGGGAAGAGCGGCUCAGACAGCUGCGUAACAUCUGGAAACCUGAGAAAGAUUUACAGACCAGCGGUAAAACUAAGCAAUAGUGGAGAGACCGGCUGACUGCUGCAGAAGAAAUCUGCUCUGAGGUUAACAGAACGUCUGAUCGUCCAGUAUGAGAUCAACCUUCAGCAGAGACUGCUGGAUAUCAGCCGGAAACCCGAGAUAAAGUUACGCAUAACAGUGACCCUUUGUUCCUCAAGAUCUCCCC
This is a non-coding RNA of Maylandia zebra (zebra mbuna), 956 nucleotides long. NCBI's taxonomy places the organism in Eukaryota, Metazoa, Chordata, Actinopteri, Cichliformes, Cichlidae. The record is from RefSeq and is a predicted model, not a curated record.